This 498-nucleotide ribosomal RNA is filed under the name uncultured bacterium. Its description in RNAcentral is "partial 16S ribosomal RNA". It matches the Rfam family "Bacterial small subunit ribosomal RNA", at positions 30 to 523 of the family's 1533-position model. The record is from RNAcentral.
AUUGAACGCUGGCGGCAUGCCUUACACAUGCAAGUCGAACGGUAACAGGUCUUCGGAUGCUGACGAGUGGCGAACGGGUGAGUAAUACAUCGGAACGUGCCUAGUAGUGGGGGAUAACUACUCGAAAGAGUGGCUAAUGCCGCAUGAGAUCUACGGAUGAAAGCAGGGGAUCGCACGACCUUGUGCUACUAGAGCGGCCGAUGGCGGGUUAGGUAGGUGGUGGGAUAAAAGCUUACCAAGCCGACUAUCUGUAGCUGGUCUGAGAGGACGAUGAGCCACACUGGGACUGAGCCACGGCCCAGACUCCUAGGGGAGGCAGCAGUGGGGAAUUUUGGACAAUGGGCGCAAGCCUGAUCCAGAAAUGCCGAGGGCAGGAUGAAGGCGUUCGGGUUGUAAACUGCUUUUGUACGGAACGAAAAGCCCCGGGUUAAUACCCUGGGGUCAUGACGGUACCGUAAGAAUAAGCACCGGCUAACUACGUGCCAGCCGCCGCGGUAA